UACGUAGGGGGCUAGCGUUGUCCGGAAUCAUUGGGCGUAAAGAGCGUGUAGGCUGCUCGGUAAGUCCGCUGUAAAAGUCAAAGGCUCAACCUUUGAAUGUCAGUGGAUACUGCCGGGCUAGAGUCCGGAAGAGGCGAGUGGAAUUCCCGGUGUAGUGGUGGAAUGCGUAGAUAUCGGGAGGAACACCAGUGGCGAAGGCGGCUUCCUGGACCGGUUCUGACACUGAGGAGCGAGAGCGUGGGGAGCGAUCCGG
This 253-nucleotide ribosomal RNA is filed under the name uncultured bacterium. RNAcentral's name for it is "partial 16S ribosomal RNA". It matches the Rfam family "Bacterial small subunit ribosomal RNA", at positions 524 to 776 of the family's 1533-position model. The record is from RNAcentral.